Molecule: non-coding RNA, 1164 nt
Organism: Lolium perenne
Lineage: Eukaryota; Viridiplantae; Streptophyta; Magnoliopsida; Poales; Poaceae
Source: RefSeq, a predicted model, not a curated record
CACUCUGUCCCAAAAUCAGUAGGUGUCCCAUCCUCCGUUCCCCAUCUCUUUCCGGGAUUCCUCGUGCUCUUGCCGCCGGCCGAGAUUCGCGAUUCUCCCCCCGCCGGCCAUCUUCCCCGGGAGCGGCGGCUGCUCCGUCGCGCAGCCUUGCCGCAGUACCACCAGUUAGCUCCGUCGUGCUGCUCUCGUGCAGGUACAGAACAGUACGCCGUCGCGCAGAAUCACAACAAUGGCCGCCGGGAAACUCCAGAGCAUGCCACGCCACGGUGCCGCAGAUAGGCUCACGGGCAGACGCAGGAGCCACACGCGGGCGGGAACCGUCACCGUGGAUGAAACGGGCUCGUCCUCCACAGGCACACCUCACGCCGCCGAGCGUGGCGUCCAGGAGGAGGGCGGCGGCACCGCCUGCGACGACUGCGCAUUGGCAGAUGUCCGGCUCGACGAUCUUGGCCUCGUUGUUGGGCGAUAGCAGCUCGGCCGUUCCAUGCCGACUGCCGACGGCUUUCUUCGAUCGAGUCCGUGGGCGCGCCGAUGGCUGGCCGUGUUCUCCGUCAGCCCAAACCGCAGCAGGAUCUCCGCCUGCGGUAGCGGCUUCGGGUGCGCGACCAUGGCGACCGGCCUCCAACGACCGUCCGCUCUGACAACGGCUGCGGCAAUGUUAUAGGGCGCCGAGCCGCCGACAGCCACCCGGGGAGGUGAAGAUCACAUGUCCUCUUAACUUGACCAACGGCCUAUCGUCGUGCUGCGGCGGCCGGGCCGCCGGUAGGAUGGGCGUGUACGUCCGCUCUGGACCAUGCCGCACGCACGCCACGCGGGAGCUGGUGGAGCAGUACGUCGGCGCCAGCGACCUCAUCACCAUGUGACGGUGGAUGGCCGGACCAGCUGCAUAAGGGUCGUCGCGGAGAUGAAGCCGACCAUGAUGGGAGAAUGUUGUCGAGGAACAGAGACGCCGUGGAGAUGGCAAUUGCAGAGCUGGCAUCGGAGUGGAAGAAGAAGGUGGACGUGGCCAAUGAGAUCCAGUGGGAGGCCGCAGCAGCCUCCUUCUCGCGCAUUGUCGUUGCUGUCGUCGAUACGUAUAUUCAGUUUGUAAAUAUGAUGAGGCGAGUUAGAUUGUCCUAGAUAUUCAGUUUGUAAAGAACAGAUGUCUUGUUUUCAAACACAAAA